This 72-nucleotide transfer RNA is filed under the name Daphnia pulex (common water flea). It matches the Rfam family "tRNA". From Rfam's summary of the family: Transfer RNA (tRNA) molecules are approximately 80 nucleotides in length. Lineage: Eukaryota; Metazoa; Arthropoda; Branchiopoda; Diplostraca; Daphniidae. The record is from Rfam by way of RNAcentral.
GGUACUAUGGCUUAGAAGGGAAGCGCCUGCCUAGUAGGCAGGAGGACACAAGUUCGAGUCUCGUUGGAACUA